UGCCCGUGAUGAUUUGCCAUGCUAAUACUGAUGCACCAGGCUGGUCCUCAAGGUCAUCCGUUCUGGGUGCAGUUGAGUUAAAAUCUACUUCUCGCAAAACUUGUGCGAUCUGAGGCAU
Molecule: small nucleolar RNA, 118 nt
Organism: Erpetoichthys calabaricus (reedfish)
Lineage: Eukaryota; Metazoa; Chordata; Cladistia; Polypteriformes; Polypteridae
Source: Ensembl